This 301-nucleotide ribosomal RNA is filed under the name uncultured bacterium. Its description in RNAcentral is "partial 16S ribosomal RNA". It matches the Rfam family "Bacterial small subunit ribosomal RNA", at positions 509 to 807 of the family's 1533-position model. The record is from RNAcentral.
CAGUCGCCGCGGUAAUACGUAGGGUGCAAGCGUUAAUCGGAAUUACUGGGCGUAAAGCGUGCGCAGGCGGUUAUAUAAGUCAGAUGUGAAAUCCCCGGGCUCAACCUGGGAACUGCAUUCGAGACUGUAUGGCUAGAGUGUGUCAGAGGAGGGUAGAAUUCCACGUGUAGCAGUGAAAUGCGUAGAUAUGUGGAGGAAUACCGAUGGCGAAGGCAGCCCCCUGGGAUAACACUGACGCUCAUGCACGAAAGCGUGGGGAGCAAACAGGAUUAGAUACCCCCGUAGUCCCUGUCUCUUAUAC